GAUGAACGCUGGCGGCGUGCCUAAUACAUGCAAGUCGAGCGAACAGACGAGGAGCUUGCUCCUCUGACGUUAGCGGCGGACGGGUGAGUAACACGUGGAUAACCUACCUAUAAGACUGGGAUAACUUCGGGAAACCGGAGCUAAUACCGGAUAAUAUAUUGAACCGCAUGGUUCAAUAGUGAAAGACGGUUUUGCUGUCACUUAUAGAUGGAUCCGCGCCGCAUUAGCUAGUUGGUAAGGUAACGGCUUACCAAGGCGACGAUGCGUAGCCGACCUGAGAGGGUGAUCGGCCACACUGGAACUGAGACACGGUCCAGACUCCUACGGGAGGCAGUAGUAGGGAAUCUUCCGCAAUGAGCGAAAGCCUGACGGAGCAACGCCGCGUGAGUGAUGAAGGUCUUCGGAUCGUAAAACUCUGUUAUUAGGGAAGAACAAAUGUGUAAGUAACUAUGCACGUCUUGACGGUACCUAAUCAGAAAGCCACGGCUAACUACGUG
This 497-nucleotide ribosomal RNA is filed under the name uncultured bacterium. RNAcentral's name for it is "partial 16S ribosomal RNA". It matches the Rfam family "Bacterial small subunit ribosomal RNA", at positions 28 to 507 of the family's 1533-position model. The record is from RNAcentral.